UACGUAGGGGCGGAGCGUUGUCCGGAAUGACUGGGGCGUAAAGGGCGUGUAGGCGGCCGAUUAAGUCUGGAGUGAAAGUCCUGCUUUCAAGGUGGGAAUUGCUUUGGAGACUGGUUGGCUUGAGUGCGGAAGAGGUAAGUGGAAUUCCCAGUGUAGCGGUGACAUGCGUAGAGAUUGGGAGGAACACCAGUGGCGAAGGCGACUUACUGGGCCGUAACUGACGCUGAGGCGCGAAAGCGUGGGGAGCGAACAGGAUUAGAUACCCCCGUAGUCCCUGAG
This 279-nucleotide ribosomal RNA is filed under the name uncultured prokaryote. RNAcentral describes it as "partial 16S ribosomal RNA". It matches the Rfam family "Bacterial small subunit ribosomal RNA", at positions 524 to 801 of the family's 1533-position model. The record is from RNAcentral.